This 255-nucleotide ribosomal RNA is filed under the name Salmonella enterica subsp. enterica serovar 1,4,[5],12:i:-. RNAcentral describes it as "partial 23S ribosomal RNA". It matches the Rfam family "Bacterial large subunit ribosomal RNA", at positions 1474 to 1724 of the family's 2925-position model. Lineage: Bacteria; Pseudomonadati; Pseudomonadota; Gammaproteobacteria; Enterobacterales; Enterobacteriaceae. The record is from RNAcentral.
GGAGAAGGCUAUGUUGGCCGGGCGACGGUUGUCCCGGUUUAAGCGUGUAGGUGUGUGUUCCAGGUAAAUCCGGUUCACUUUAACACUGAGGCGUGACGACGAGGCACUACGGUGCUGAAGCAACAAAAGCCCUGCUUCCAGGAAAAGCCUCUAAGCAUCAGGUAACAUCAAAUCGUACCCCAAACCGACACAGGUGGUCAGGUAGAGAAUACCAAGGCGCUUGAGAGAACUCGGGUGAAGGAACUAGGCAAAAUG